Non-coding RNA from Gossypium raimondii (Peruvian cotton), 308 nucleotides. Lineage: Eukaryota; Viridiplantae; Streptophyta; Magnoliopsida; Malvales; Malvaceae. The record is from Rfam.
UUCGAUCCUAGCUGAAGAUGAACGGAAAGUGGUGUUUCUAAUGGCUGACAGGUGAGUAACACGUAAGAACUUGCCAUUAGGAAGGAACAACUGCUAAUACCUCGUAGGUUGAGGAGCAAAAGGAGGAAUUCGUUCAAGGAGGGGUUUGCGUCUAAUUAUCUAGUUGAUGAGGUAAUAGCUUACCAAUGCGAUGAUUAGUAGCUGGUCCAAGAGGAUGAUCAACCACGCUAGGACUAAGACAUGGUCUAGACUUCUACGGGAGGCAAGAGUAGGGAAUUUUCCACAAUGGGUGAAAGCCACCUUAUUGG